RNAcentral lists this ribosomal RNA (253 nucleotides) under uncultured bacterium. RNAcentral describes it as "partial 16S ribosomal RNA". It matches the Rfam family "Bacterial small subunit ribosomal RNA", at positions 524 to 776 of the family's 1533-position model. The record is from RNAcentral.
UACAGGGGGUGCAAACGUUGCUCGGAAUCAUUGGGCGUAAAGCGCACGUAGGCGGACUCUUAAGUCAGGGGUGAAAUCCUGGAGCUCAACUCCAGAACUGCCUUUGAUACUGGGAGUCUUGAGUCCGGAAGAGGUAAGUGGAACUGCGAGUGUAGAGGUGAAAUUCGUAGAUAUUCGCAAGAACACCAGUGGCGAAGGCGGCUUACUGGUCCGGUACUGACGCUGAGGUGCGAAAGCGUGGGGAGCAAACAGG